This 497-nucleotide ribosomal RNA is filed under the name uncultured bacterium. Its description in RNAcentral is "partial 16S ribosomal RNA". It matches the Rfam family "Bacterial small subunit ribosomal RNA", at positions 28 to 507 of the family's 1533-position model. The record is from RNAcentral.
GAUGAACGCUGGCGGCGUGCCUAAUACAUGCAAGUCGAGCGAACGGACGAGAAGCUUGCUUCUCUGAUGUUAGCGGCGGACGGGUGAGUAACACGUGGAUAACCUACCUAUAAGACUGGGAUAACUUCGGGAAACCGGAGCUAAUACCGGAUGAUAUUUUGAACCGCAUGGUUCAAAAGUGAAAGACGGUCUUGCUGUCACUUAUAGAUGGAUCCGCGCUUCAUUAGCUAGUUGGUAAGGUAACGGCUUACCAAGGCAACGAUGCAUAGCCGACCUGAGAGGGGGAUCGGCCACACGGGAACGGAGACACGGUCCAGACUCCUACGGGAGGCAGCAGUAGGGAAUCUUCCGCAAUGGGCGAAAGCCUGACGGAGCAACGCCGCGUGAGUGAUGAAGGUCUUCGGAUCGUAAAACUCUGUUAUUAGGGAAGAACAGAUGUGUAAGUAACUGUGCACAUCUUGACGGUACCUAAUCAGAAAGCCACGGCUAACUACGUG